GGAAGCUUGGCAGAGUGGUCGAUUGCACUGGUCUUGAAAACCAGCAAGGGGAAACCCUUCGUGAGUUCGAAUCUCACAGCUUCCGCCA
This 88-nucleotide transfer RNA is filed under the name Azonexus sp. RNAcentral describes it as "tRNA-Ser". It matches the Rfam family "tRNA". Rfam says of the family: Transfer RNA (tRNA) molecules are approximately 80 nucleotides in length. Their secondary structure includes four short double-helical elements and three loops (D, anti-codon, and T loops). Further hydrogen bonds mediate the characteristic L-shaped molecular structure. tRNAs have two regions of fundamental functional importance: the anti-codon, which is responsible for specific mRNA codon recognition, and the 3' end, to which the tRNAs corresponding amino acid is attached (by aminoacyl-tRNA synthetases). tRNAs cope with the degeneracy of the genetic code in two manners: having more than one tRNA (with a specific anti-codon) for a particular amino acid; and 'wobble' base-pairing, i.e. permitting non-standard base-pairing at the 3rd anti-codon position. The record is from RNAcentral. Lineage: Bacteria; Pseudomonadati; Pseudomonadota; Betaproteobacteria; Rhodocyclales; Azonexaceae.